Molecule: ribosomal RNA, 465 nt
Filed under: uncultured bacterium
Lineage: Bacteria
Description: partial 16S ribosomal RNA
Rfam family: Bacterial small subunit ribosomal RNA
Source: RNAcentral
CCUACGGGGGGCAGCAGUGGGGAAUAUUGCGCAAUGGGCGAAAGCCUGACGCAGCGACGCCGCGUGAGGGAUGAAGGUCUUCGGAUCGUAAACCUCUGUCAGCAGGGAAGAACGGUCACUGUGCUAAUCAGCAGUGAAUUGACGGUACCUGCAAAGGAAGCACCGGCUAACUCCGUGCCAGCAGCCGCGGGAAUACGGAGGGUGCGAGCGUUAAUCGGAAUUACUGGGCGUAAAGCGCUCGUAGGCGGUAUGUCAAGUCAAGGGUGAAAGCCCCGCGCUCAACGUGGGAACUGCAUUUGAAACUGGCAAACUGGAGUGUGUGAGAGGAUAGUGGAAUUCGAGGUGUAGGAGUGAAAUCCGUAGAUAUCUGGAGGAACAUCAGUGGCGAAGGCGACUAUCUGGCACAUAACUGACGCUGAGGAGCGAAAGUGUGGGUAGCAAACAGGAUUAGAUACCCUAGUAGUC